Molecule: long non-coding RNA, 889 nt
Filed under: Olea europaea subsp. europaea
Lineage: Eukaryota; Viridiplantae; Streptophyta; Magnoliopsida; Lamiales; Oleaceae
Source: RNAcentral
GAGCAAAUGAGAAUGCAGAGUAGAGGAAAGCAGGGCCUUGGUAAGAAGAUCUGCAAGCUGCAGGUAAGUGGAGACAUGAAAAUUAACAAUAGAACCAUCAACAAUUUUGUCACGAAUCACGUGACAAUCCAGCUCAAUGUGCUUGGUCCUCUCAUGGAAGACCGGAUUGGCAGCAAUGUGAAGAGCUGCUUGGUUGUCACAAAAGAACUUGGCAGCUUAAGGGUGUGAAACUUGGAGAUUUGUAAGAAGGUAACGGAGCCAAGUAAGUUCAGAACAAGUAGUUGCCAUUGAUUUGUACUCAGAUUCAGCAGAGGGGCGUGAGACCACAGAUUGUUUCUUGGACUUCCAAGAAAUGAGAGAGCUGCCCAAUAAGACAUAAUAUCCAGUGACAGAACGACGUGUAUCAGGGCAGGAGGCCCAAUCUGAGUCACAAUAUGCAAUCAAUUGCAGAGAAGAUGCAACUGGAAAGAGAAUGCCUUGACCAGGAGCUUGCUUAAUAUACCUCAGCACCUUGUGGGCAGCAGCCAAAUGUGCUGAGGUAGGCGUAGCCACGAAUUGACUUAAAGUGUGAACAGCAUAGCUUAUGUCAGGUCGUGAGAUAGUUAGAUAUAAUAAUGUCCCUAUUAACCUGUGGUAAAUGGAAGGGUCUUGCAGCAAAACACCAGUAUUCUUACUUAACUUUAAAUUUUGAUCCAUUGGAACCUUGACUGGCUUGGAACCCAAUGUACCAGAAUCAGCAAGUAUGUCUAAGGCAUAUUUGCGCUGACAAAUGUGAAUGCCCUGAGGAGAACGAGCAACUUCAAUGCCAAGAAAAUAUCGGAUGGAACCGAGAUCCUUAAUUUUAAAUUGAUCGUUCAAGAAGACCUUCAAAACUGAAAUUGAAUCAAGG